Molecule: ribosomal RNA, 303 nt
Filed under: uncultured bacterium
Lineage: Bacteria
Description: partial 16S ribosomal RNA
Rfam family: Bacterial small subunit ribosomal RNA
Source: RNAcentral
AGCAGCGCCGCGGGAAUACAGAGGGUGCGAGCGUUAAUCGGAUUUACUGGGCGUAAAGCGUGCGUAGGCGGCUUCUUAAGUCGGAUGUGAAAUCCCUGAGCUUAACUUAGGAAUUGCAUUCGAUACUGGGAAGCUAGAGUAUGGGAGAGGAUGGUAGAAUUCCAGGUGUAGCGGUGAAAUGCGUAGAGAUCUGGAGGAAUACCGAUGGCGAAGGCAGCCAUCUGGCCUAAUACUGACGCUGAGGUACGAAAGCAUGGGGAGCAAACAGGAUUAGAUACCCCAGUAGUCCCUGUCUCUUAUACA